Molecule: ribosomal RNA, 384 nt
Filed under: Bathytoma sp. XMUB6012
Lineage: Eukaryota; Metazoa; Mollusca; Gastropoda; Neogastropoda; Conidae
Description: partial large subunit ribosomal RNA
Rfam family: Bacterial large subunit ribosomal RNA
Source: RNAcentral
GGAUGAAUGGUUUGACAAGAAUAUAGCUGUCUCUUUAUGAUUUAACAGAAUUUUAUUUUAGGAUGAAAAAGUCCUAAUUAAAUUAAAAGACAAGAAGACCCUAUCGAGCUUGAAAGAAAUUAGCAAGAAUAUAUUAAUUAUACCUAAAAAAUAGGUUGCUAAAAAUUUUAGUUGGGGCAACUUAGGAGCAAAAAAAGCCUCCUCUAAAAGCUAUUAAACAUACUAGUGUUGAUCCAAAAUUUUUGAUUAAAGAAAAUAGUUACCGUAGGGAUAACAGCAUUAUCUUUUUUGAGAGCUCUUAUCGAAAAAAAGGUUUGUGACCUCGAUGUUGGACCAGAAUGUCCUAAAGAUGUAGAAGUCUUUGAGGGUUGGUCUGUUCGACCA